Long non-coding RNA from Callorhinus ursinus (northern fur seal), 1001 nucleotides. RefSeq lists it as uncharacterized. The record is from RefSeq and is a predicted model, not a curated record. NCBI's taxonomy places the organism in Eukaryota, Metazoa, Chordata, Mammalia, Carnivora, Otariidae.
GAGGGAGAGGUGGUCAGAAGGGUGGACAACCCAACAUUGCUUGAAAGAGUGCAGCCUGGAAUUCAACUGGAUGCAGACCUGUAGAGAAGAUGGAGUUUGUGGCCCCCAGGGAAUGAAGAAAAAGUAUUUGAACAUUAGACGUCCCAUAUUCAAUGUGGCUUGUGAGCUGAUUGCAAGUGGGGAUCCUGGCAUUUAGUGUCAUGUUACCCCACUUUCUCCAAGCUGUCCUAGCUUCCAUCCAGCUCUCUUAGCAUGCCAAACUCUUCCCAAUGUUAGGGCUUUAGAGUUUUGAAUUUCUCUGCCUGUGUGUUAGACACCUAGGGGAAACCACAAUUUCUUUUCUCUUUUACUCAGAAUAUGCCUACUAAGUAAGAGACUACAUUUCUUACUUGGCUUUCAUCUAGGUGUGGCCAUAUUACAAAACCAUCUGGCACCAACAGGAUAUGAGUGUAAGUAAUUAUCUCCAACAUAUGGAGAAGGCACUGAUAUUAUCAUUAUCCCACUUCACAGGGAAGAUAUAGUCUCACAGAGGUUCAGUAACUCCGUUAAUUAAAGGCUUAUACUUUCAAGGUGAGACUUUUCUAUGCUCAUGUAUCAUGUAUCUGUUGUGAGUUUGGUUUGCAAGAGUUGUAGGAUAUCUGUAAUUGCCAUCCAGAUCCUAGUGAAUGAUGACCACACCAAGGCAGGCCAGUUAGUUCCAUGAUAGCCUAUCUGAAUACCUGAACAUCCAGCCAAACUUCCUGUACAAGCGAAACGUUCCAGUCAUCUGUUUAAAGAAGUUCUUCAAGAUGGCCAUCUCCCCUUCCUUCCUGCUGGCUGGAAGCAACUGUAGAAGUCACAAGGAGGAUGACAGAACUGCCUUUCUCAGCCUGGAUCCCUAGAUGACUUUACAGAGCAGAGCUUGACUGCCAACGCUGGACUGUUAUGUGAAAGAGAAAUAAACUUUUGUUUUGUUUAGCCAUUAAAUUUCAGAAUCUAUGUAUUAACCAUUACCGCCAACU